UCCAGAGGGGGCAAGCGUUGUUCGGAAUUACUGGGCGUAAAGGGCGCGUAGGCGGCCUGCUAAGUCGAACGUGAAAUCCCUGGGCUUAACCCAGGAACUGCGUCCGAUACUGGCAGGCUUGAAUCCGGGAGAGGGAUGCGGAAUUCCAGGUGUAGCGGUGAAAUGCGUAGAUAUCUGGAGGAACACCGGUGGCGAAGGCGGCAUCCUGGACCGGCAUUGACGCUGAGGCGCGAAAGCCAGGGGAGCAAACGGG
Molecule: ribosomal RNA, 253 nt
Filed under: uncultured bacterium
Lineage: Bacteria
Description: partial 16S ribosomal RNA
Rfam family: Bacterial small subunit ribosomal RNA
Source: RNAcentral